This 1242-nucleotide long non-coding RNA is filed under the name Callithrix jacchus (white-tufted-ear marmoset). RNAcentral describes it as "lncRNA (ENSCJAG00000086804.1)". The record is from RNAcentral. Lineage: Eukaryota; Metazoa; Chordata; Mammalia; Primates; Cebidae.
AGAGCUGCAAUCCCGAGCUUUUAUCAAUCGGCCAUCUUUGAUCAUUCGGUAUUAAGAGUUUUUAGCAUGAAGGGCUGUUGAAUUUUGUAGAACGCCUUCUCUGCAGCUAUUGAAAUAAUCAUGUGGUUUCUGUCUUUGGUUCUGUUUAUGUGAUGGAUCACAUUUACGGACUUGAAUAGGUUGAACCAGGCUUGCAUCCCAGGGAUGAAGCCUACUUGAUCACGAUGAAUAAGCUUUUUGUUGUGCUUUUGCAUUCGGUUUGCAAGUAUUUUAUUCAGUAUUUUUGCAUCGAUGCUUAUCAUGGAUAUUGGCCUGAAGUUUCCUUCAGUGUUUUACUUAAUUUUGUUUUGUGUUUUUGUUUUUUAUCAAAAGCCAUUCUGGCUGAUAUGAGAUGGUAUCUCAUGGUGGUUUUGACUUACAUUCCUCUGGUUAGUGAUGUGGGACACUUUUUCAUGUAUUUGUUGGGCAUGUGCCUGUCUUCUUUUGAGAAGUGUCUGUUCAUAUCCUUUCCUCACAAUUUAAGAAGUAAUUUGUUUUUGGCUUGUUGAUUUGUUUAAGUUCCUUGUAGACUGCAGAUAUUAGACCUUUGUAAGAUGCACAGUGUGUCAACAUUCUCACCCAUUUUGUAGGAUGAGUGCUUACUCCCUGGUAGUUUCUCUUACUGUGCAGAAGCACUUUAGUGUAAUUAGUUCCCACGUGUCCAUUUCUGUUGUGGCCUGCUUUUCUUCUAACCGUCCUCUAGUUUGGCUUUGUCCAUUAGGUCACUGACUAUUUGUUUGUUUGUUUGUUUUUCGUUUGUCUGGUAUAUGGCAUGAGGUAAAGAUCCACAUUCAUUCUUUCACAUGUGGACAUCCAGUUGUCUCAGCAGCAUCGUUUGUUGAAAAGGUUCCUGUUUUCUCAUGAAAUUAUUUUGUACUGUUGAUGAAAAUCCAUUGACCACACCUGUGAGGCUUUAUCUCCAGACUCUGGCAUCUACUCCACUGAUCCAUCUUUCUAUCCUUAGACAGGCACCAUCAGCCUUGAUUACUGCUUGCUUUGUAGCCCAUUUAGAAAUUGGAGAACAUUGAGUCCUCAACUUUGUUUUACAUUUUUCAAGGUUGUUUUAGCUAUUAAAGGUCUCUUGAAUGUUGACAUAACUUUUUGAAUCACCUCAUCAAUUUCUGCAAAAAGAGAUCUGGGAUGUGGAUAGGAAUUACGUUGAAUUCGUAGAUCAAUGUUUUUCUGGAGAGUUUUGACCUUUGC